UAGAGUUUGAUCAUGGCUCAGAGCGAACGUUAGCGGCGCGCCUAACACAUGCAAGUCGCACGAGAAAGGGCUUCGGCCCCGGUAAAGUGGCGCACGGGUGCGUAACACGUAGGCAAUCUUCCCUUGGGCGGGGGAUAACGUUUCGAAAGAGACGCUAAUACCGCAUGAGACCACGGACGCUUCGGCGACUGCGGUCAAAGCUGGCCUCUUCAUGAAAGCUAGCACCCAAGGACGAGCCUGCGGCCCAUCAUUGCUAGUUGGUAGGGUAACGGCCUACCAAGGCUAAGACGGGUAGCUGGUCUGAGAGGAUGAUCAGCCACACUGGAACUGAAACACGGUCCAGACUCCUACGGGAGGCAGCAGUGGGGAAUAUUGGACAAUGGGCGAAAGCCUGAUCCAGCGACGCCGCGUGAGUGAUGAAGGCCUUCGGGUUGUAAAGCUCUGUGGGGAGGGACGAACCGCCGAUGGUUAAUAGCCAGCGGCAUGACGGUACCUCCUUAGCAAGCACCGGCUAACUUCGUGCCAGCCGCCGCGGKAAUUC
RNAcentral lists this ribosomal RNA (541 nucleotides) under uncultured Chondromyces sp. RNAcentral's name for it is "bacterial SSU rRNA". It matches the Rfam family "Bacterial small subunit ribosomal RNA", at positions 1 to 526 of the family's 1533-position model. The record is from RNAcentral. Lineage: Bacteria; Pseudomonadati; Myxococcota; Polyangiales; Polyangiaceae.